GACAACGUCCAAAUCACAUUGAAACUACCAGUUCUCGUCUGAUCACUGAAGUCAAGUAACGUUGAGCACGGUUAGUACUUGGAUGGGAUUUAAAAAUCCAAGACGACUAUAAUA
Molecule: ribosomal RNA, 114 nt
Filed under: Trachymyrmex septentrionalis
Lineage: Eukaryota; Metazoa; Arthropoda; Insecta; Hymenoptera; Formicidae
Source: RNAcentral